GGCCCCAUGGUGUAAUGGUAAGCACCCUGGACUUUGAAUCCAGAGAUCCGAGUUCGAGUCUCGGUGGGACCU
This 72-nucleotide transfer RNA is filed under the name Penaeus chinensis. RNAcentral's name for it is "tRNA-Gln". It matches the Rfam family "tRNA". From Rfam's summary of the family: Transfer RNA (tRNA) molecules are approximately 80 nucleotides in length. Their secondary structure includes four short double-helical elements and three loops (D, anti-codon, and T loops). Further hydrogen bonds mediate the characteristic L-shaped molecular structure. tRNAs have two regions of fundamental functional importance: the anti-codon, which is responsible for specific mRNA codon recognition, and the 3' end, to which the tRNAs corresponding amino acid is attached (by aminoacyl-tRNA synthetases). tRNAs cope with the degeneracy of the genetic code in two manners: having more than one tRNA (with a specific anti-codon) for a particular amino acid; and 'wobble' base-pairing, i.e. permitting non-standard base-pairing at the 3rd anti-codon position. Lineage: Eukaryota; Metazoa; Arthropoda; Malacostraca; Decapoda; Penaeidae. The record is from RNAcentral.